This 640-nucleotide ribosomal RNA is filed under the name uncultured bacterium. Its description in RNAcentral is "bacterial SSU rRNA". It matches the Rfam family "Bacterial small subunit ribosomal RNA", at positions 84 to 745 of the family's 1533-position model. The record is from RNAcentral.
UUUCUUGAUUAGUGGCGCACGGGUGAGUAAUGCAUAGAUAAUGUGCCCCUUAGUUCGGGAUAGCCACUGGAAACGGUGAUUAAUACCGGAUACUCCUUCUUGUUAUAAGACAAGUCGGGAAAGUUUUUCGCUAAGGGAUCAGUCUAUGUUCCAUCAGCUUGUUGGUGAGGUAAUGGCUCACCAAGGCUAUGACGGAUAUCUGGUUUGAGAGGAUGAUCAGACACACUGGAACUGAGACACGGUCCAGACUCCUACGGGAGGCAGCAGUGAGGAAUAUUGCACAAUGGAGGAAACUCUGAUGCAGCAACGCCGCGUGGAGGAUGACGCAUUUCGGUGUGUAAACUCCUUUUAUUAGGGAAGAUAAUGACGGUACCUAAUGAAUAAGCACCGGCUAACUCCGUGCCAGCAGCCGCGGUAAUACGGAGGGUGCAAGCGUUACUCGGAAUCACUGGGCGUAAAGGGUGCGUAGGCUGGCUUUUAAGUCAGAUGUGAAAUCCAAUGGCUCAACCAUUGAACUGCUUUUGAAACUGAAAGCCUAGAGUUCAGAAGGGGCAGAUGGAAUUAGUGGUGUAGGGGUAAAAUCCGUAGAUAUCACUAGGAAUAUCAAAAGCGAAGGCGAUCUGCUGGGAUGAUACUGACG